Molecule: ribosomal RNA, 472 nt
Filed under: uncultured Glomus
Lineage: Eukaryota; Fungi; Glomeromycota; Glomeromycetes; Glomerales; Glomeraceae
Description: SSU rRNA
Rfam family: Eukaryotic small subunit ribosomal RNA
Source: RNAcentral
AGCAGCCGCGGUAAUUCCAGCUCCAAUAGCGUAUAUUAAAGUUGUUGCAGUUAAAAAGCUCGUAGUUGAAUUUCGGGAUCAAUUAGUCGGUCGUGCCUCUGGUACGUACUGGUUUUAUUGGUUCCUCCCUUCUGACGAAACAUGAUGUCAUUAAUUUGGUGUCGUGGAGAAUCAGGACUGUUACCUUGAAAAGAUUAGAGUGUUUAUAGCAGGCUAACGCUUGAAUACAUUAGCAUGGAAUAAUGAAAUAGGACGUUCGACCCUAUUUUGUUGGUUUCUAGGAUCGACGUAAUGAUUAAUAGGGAUAGUUGGGGGCAUUAGUAUUCAAUUGUCAGAGGUGAAAUUCUUGGAUUUAUUGAAGACUAACUACUGCGAAAGCAUUUGCCAAGGAUGUUUUCAUUAAUCAAGAACGAAAGUUAGGGGAUCGAAGACGAUCAGAUACCGUCGUAGUCUUAACCAUAAACUAUGCCGA